GGGGAAUAUUGGACAAUGGGCGAAAGCCUGAUCCAGCGACGCCGCGUGAAUGAUGAAGGCCUUCGGGUUGUAAAGUUCUUUUGGCAGGGAAGAUAGUGACGGUACCUGCAGAAUAAGCCCCGGCUAACUCUGUGCCAGCAGCCGCGGUAAGACAGAGGGGGCUAGCGUUGUUCGGAAUCACUGGGCGUAAAGGGCGCGUAGGCGGCCAUGUAAGUCAGAGGUGAAAGCCUGGAGCUUAACUCCAGAAUUGCCUUUGAUACUGCUUGGCUCGAGUCCGGAAGAGGGUGGUGGAAUUCCUAGUGUAGAGGUGAAAUUCGUAGAUAUUAGGAGGAACACCGAUGGCGAAGGCAGCCACCUGGUCCGGUACUGACGCUGAGGCGCGAAAGCGUGGGGAGCAAAC
This 400-nucleotide ribosomal RNA is filed under the name uncultured bacterium. RNAcentral's name for it is "bacterial SSU rRNA". It matches the Rfam family "Bacterial small subunit ribosomal RNA", at positions 356 to 773 of the family's 1533-position model. The record is from RNAcentral.